UACGAAGGGGGCUAGCGUUGCUCGGAAUCACUGGGCGUAAAGGGUGCGUAGGCGGGUUUUUAAGUCAGGGGUGAAAUCCUGGAGCUCAACUCCAGAACUGCCUUUGAUACUGAAGAUCUUGAGUCCGGGAGAGGUGAGUGGAACUGCGAGUGUAGAGGUGAAAUUCGUAGAUAUCAUUUGGAACGCCAAUGGUGAAAACAACUCGCUGGGGGUGUGCUGACGCUGAGACACGAAAGCCAGGGGAGCGAACGGG
RNAcentral lists this ribosomal RNA (253 nucleotides) under uncultured bacterium. Its description in RNAcentral is "partial 16S ribosomal RNA". It matches the Rfam family "Bacterial small subunit ribosomal RNA", at positions 524 to 776 of the family's 1533-position model. The record is from RNAcentral.